GGGAGCUCUCCCAUAUGGUCGACCUGCAGGCGGCCGCGAAUUCACUAGUGAUUCGUAUUACCGCGGCUGCUGGCACGUAGUUAGCCGGUGCUUAUUCUUACGGUACCGUCAUGGACCCCAGGUAUUAACCAGAGUCUUUUCGUUCCGUACAAAAGCAGUUUACAACCCGAAGGCCUUCAUCCUGCACGCGGCAUGGCUGGAUCAGGCUUUCGCCCAUUGUCCAAAAUUCCCCACUGCUGCCUCCCGUAGGAGUCUGGGCCGUGUCUCAGUCCCAGUGUGGCUGGUCGUCCUCUCAGACCAGCUACAGAUCGUCGGCUUGGUAAGCUUUUAUCCCACCAACUACCUAAUCUGCCAUCGGCCGCUCCGUUCGCGCAAGGCCUUGCGGUCCCCUGCUUUCAUCCGUAGAUCUUAUGCGGUAUUAGCAAAGCUUUCGCUUCGUUAUCCCCCACGAUCGGGCACGUUCCGAUGUAUUACUCACCCGUUCGCCACUCGUCAGCAUCCGAAGACCUGUUACCGUUCGACUUGCAUGUGUUAAGCCUGCCGCCAGCGUUCAAUCUGAGCCAUGAUCAAACUCUAAUCGAAUUCCCGCGGCCGCCAUGGCGGCCGGGAGCAUGCGAC
Molecule: ribosomal RNA, 618 nt
Filed under: uncultured beta proteobacterium
Lineage: Bacteria; Pseudomonadati; Pseudomonadota; Betaproteobacteria
Description: partial 16S ribosomal RNA
Source: RNAcentral